Molecule: long non-coding RNA, 1310 nt
Filed under: Homo sapiens (human)
Lineage: Eukaryota; Metazoa; Chordata; Mammalia; Primates; Hominidae
Description: long non-coding RNA NONHSAT150967.1
Source: RNAcentral
GGGGUUCUCUCCUGCCCCCAAGCUGGUGGAAUCCCCCAAAGAAGGUAAAGGGAGCAAGCCUUCCCCACUGUCUGUGAAGAACACCAAGAGGAGGCUGGAGGGCGCCAAGAAAGCCAAGGCGGACAGCCCCGUGAACGGCUUGCCAAAGGGGCGAGAGAGUCGGAGUCGGAGCCGGAGCCGUGAGCAGAGCUACUCGAGGUCCCCAUCCCGAUCAGCGUCUCCUAAGAGGAGGAAAAGUGACAGCGGCUCCACAUCUGGUGGGUCCAAGUCGCAGAGCCGCUCCCGGAGCAGGAGUGACUCCCCACCGAGACAGGCCCCCCGCAGCGCUCCCUACAAAGGCUCUGAGAUUCGGGGCUCCCGGAAGUCCAAGGACUGCAAGUACCCCCAGAAGCCACACAAGUCUCGGAGCCGGAGUUCUUCCCGUUCUCGAAGCAGGUCACGGGAGCGGGCGGAUAAUCCGGGAAAAUACAAGAAGAAAAGUCAUUACUACAGAGAUCAGCGACGAGAGCGCUCGAGGUCGUAUGAACGCACAGGCCGUCGCUAUGAGCGGGACCACCCUGGGCACAGCAGGCAUCGGAGGUGAGGCGGGGUUGCAGUGACUGGUGGCCGCAAGCCCUUCCCUGGGGAGUACCUGAUGGCUGCCCUUUGACCCCCGGUGGCUGCCCUUUGACCCCCGGGUGUGCUCUCAGCGCAAGUGGUCCUAGAACAGGAUUCUUUUUGGAAAUGUCUGUCGACUGGACCUUGGUGGAUUUGGAAAUGGAACUGAGGGACCGGUGACACGUGCUUCAGACCGGUCUGGGGUGCGGCGCACACCUGGGCCCGUGCAGGGCUCAGCUCGGCAGCAGCUCUGAGGGCAGCUCAAUGAAAAAGUGAAUGCACACGCCCUUGUUGGCGUGGCCUGGCAUGGCCUGGUGCUAUCGGCAGCCGCUCUCCACUCCCCGACUGAUACUCAAUUACGUGAAGCCAAGAAAGAUGAUUUUUAGAACCUUUGCCUAUAUUAGGUUGUACUUAUGUACAUAUUUUGCAGUGUUUCACAGGAGAAAGUGGCCUUAACUGCCCCUUAUUCUCUCUCCACGUUGUAAAUAAACAUGUGUUUAAUACAAGUUAAAGCUAUGUAUGAAAACUCAGAACUUGAAUCCCGUCAGCUUAAAACUUGUGUAGGGAAUCCUGACUUUUAAAAUGUGAGGGUAUUUGGAUCUGUGUUGAAAGUCGUAUAUUUUUAUCUGUGCGGUGCUGAGUGCAGGCCACCAGCUCCUAAAUAGAGGUUCCCUAUAUGCGCGUAUGACAUGGUGAAUAAACACAACUCUCUC